UAUUGGUGAUAUGGAUAAUUUCUAAGAAGAGAUUUGAAUCUCUCCCAAGCAUAAUAGAAAUUCUCAUCUGUAUUCUAUUUUAAACUUAAAAUCUCUCUCCUCAACCU
Capsicum annuum is the source of this 107-nucleotide non-coding RNA. NCBI's taxonomy places the organism in Eukaryota, Viridiplantae, Streptophyta, Magnoliopsida, Solanales, Solanaceae. The record is from Rfam.